AAUCAUGAACAGGUGCUACCACUAAACAUACAAGGAGGGAGAGGAAAAACAAUCAGUGGCAGCUAAUAGGCCGGUGACGACGACCGCCGAGCGCCAACCGCCCGGGAAGGGGAAACACCCUCGGUCGGACUCGUGACAGUGUGUAAGGUGUAUAUAUGGUCAGUAGUGUGAUGGUGUUUAUUAAUUAGUGUGUGAGGUGUAUAUAUGGUCAGUAGUGUGAUGGUGUUUAUUAAUUAGUGUGUGUAAGGUGUAUAUAUGGUCAGUAGUGUGGUGGUGUUUAUUAAUUAGUGUGUGAGGUGUAUAUAUGGUCAGUAGUGUGAUGGUGUUUAUUAAUUAGUGUGUGUGAGGUGUAUAUAUGGUCAGUAGUGUGAUGGUGUUUAUUAAUUAGUGUGUGUAAGGUGUAUAUAUGGUCAGUAGUGUGAUGGUGUUUAUUAAUUAGUGUGUGAGGUGUAUAUAUGGUCAGUAGUGAGAUGGUGUUUAUUAAUUAGUGUGUGUAAGGUGUAUAUAUGGUCAGUAGUGUGAUGGUGUUUAUUAAUUAGUGUGUGAGGUGUAUAUAUGGUCAGUAGUGUGAUGGUGUUUAUUAAUUAGUGUGUGUAAGGUGUAUAUAUGGUCAGUAGUGUGGUGGUGUUUAUUAAUUAGUGUGUGAGGUGUAUAUAUGGUCAGUAGUGUGAUGGUGUUUAUUAAUUAGUGUGUGUGAGGUGUAUAUAUGGUCAGUAGUGAGAUGGUGUUUAUUAAUUAGUGUGUGAGGUGUAUAUAUGGUCAGUAGUGUGAUGGUGUUUAUUAAUUAGUGUGUGAGGUGUAUAUAUGGUCAGUAGUGAGGUGGUGUUUAUUAAUUAGUGUGUGUAAGGUGUAUAUAUGGUCAGUAGUGAGGUGGUGUUUAUUAAUUAGUGUGUGUAAGGUGUAUAUAUGGUCAGUAGUGAGAUGGUGUUUAUUAAUUAGUGUGUGUCAGGUGUAUAUAUGGUCAGUAGUGAGAUGGUGUUUAUUAAUUAGUGUGUGUCAGGUGUAUAUAUGGUCAGUAGUGUGAUGGUGUUUAUUAAUUAGUGUGUGUAAGGUGUAUAUAUGGUCAGUAGUGAGAUGGUGUUUAUUAAUUAGUGUGUGAGGUGUAUAUAUGGUCAGUAGUGUGAUGGUGUUUAUUAAUUAGUGUGUGAGGUGUAUAUAUGGUCAGUAGUGAGGUGGUGUUUAUUAAUUAGUGUGUGUAAGGUGUAUAUAUGGUCAGUAGUGAGGUGGUGUUUAUUAAUUAGUGUGUGUGAGGUGUAUAUAUGGUCAGUAGUGUGAUGGUGUUUAUUAAUUAGUGUGUGAGGUGUAUAUAUGGUCAGUAGUGAGAUGGUGUUUAUUAAUUAGUGUGUGUAAGGUGUAUAUAUGGUCAGUAGUGAGGUGGUGUUUAUUAAUUAGUGUGUGUAAGGUGUAUAUAUGGUCAGUAGUGUGAUGGUGUUUAUUAAUUAGUGUGUGUAAGGUGUAUAUAUGGUCAGUAGUGAGAUGGUGUUUAUUAAUUAGUGUGUGUAAGGUGUAUAUAUGGUCAGUAGUGUGAUGGUGUUUAUUAAUUAGUGUGUGUAAGGUGUAUAUAUGGUCAGUAGUGAGAUGGUGUUUAUUAAUUAGUGUGUGUAAGGUGUAUAUAUGGUCAGUAGUGUGAUGGUGUUUAUUAAUUAGUGUGUGUAAGGUGUAUAUAUGGUCAGUAGUGAGAUGGUGUUUAUUAAUUAGUGUGUGUAAGGUGUAUAUAUGGUCAGUAGUGAGAUGGUGUUUAUUAAUUAGUGUGUGUAAGGUGUAUAUAUGGUCAGUAGUGUGAUGGUGUUUAUUAAUUAGUGUGUGAGGUGUAUAUAUGGUCAGUAGUGAGAUGGUGUUUAUUAAUUAGUGUGUGUGAGGUGUAUAUAUGGUCAGUAGUGUGAUGGUGUUUAUUAAUUAGUGUGUGAGGUGUAUAUAUGGUCAGUAGUGAGAUGGUGUUUAUUAAUUAGUGUGUGUAAGGUGUAUAUAUGGUCAGUAGUGUGAUGGUGUUUAUUAAUUAGUGUGUGUGAGGUGUAUAUAUGGUCAGUAGUGCGAUGGUGUUUAUUAAUUAGUGUGUGUAAGGUGUAUAUAUGGUCAGUAGUGAGAUGGUGUUUAUUAAUUAGUGUGUGUGAGGUGUAUAUAUGGUCAGUAGUGUGAUGGUGUUUAUUAAUUAGUGUGUGAGGUGUAUAUAUGGUCAGUAGUGAGAUGGUGUUUAUUAAUUAGUGUGUGUAAGGUGUAUAUAUGGUCAGUAGUGAGGUGGUGUUUAUUAAUUAGUGUGUGUAAGGUGUAUAUAUGGUCAGUAGUGUGAUGGUGUUUAUUAAUUAGUGUGUGUAAGGUGUAUAUAUGGUCAGUAGUGAGAUGGUGUUUAUUAAUUAGUGUGUGUAAGGUGUAUAUAUGGUCAGUAGUGUGAUGGUGUUUAUUAAUUAGUGUGUGUAAGGUGUAUAUAUGGUCAGUAGUGAGAUGGUGUUUAUUAAUUAGUGUGUGUAAGGUGUAUAUAUGGUCAGUAGUGUGAUGGUGUUUAUUAAUUAGUGUGUGUAAGGUGUAUAUAUGGUCAGUAGUGAGAUGGUGUUUAUUAAUUAGUGUGUGUAAGGUGUAUAUAUGGUCAGUAGUGAGAUGGUGUUUAUUAAUUAGUGUGUGUAAGGUGUAUAUAUGGUCAGUAGUGUGAUGGUGUUUAUUAAUUAGUGUGUGAGGUGUAUAUAUGGUCAGUAGUGAGAUGGUGUUUAUUAAUUAGUGUGUGUAAGGUGUAUAUAUGGUCAGUAGUGUGAUGGUGUUUAUUAAUUAGUGUGUGUAAGGUGUAUAUAUGGUCAGUAGUGAGAUGGUGUUUAUUAAUUAGUGUGUGUAAGGUGUAUAUAUGGUCAGUAGUGUGAUGGUGUUUAUUAAUUAGUGUGUGUAAGGUGUAUAUAUGGUCAGUAGUGAGAUGGUGUUUAUUAAUUAGUGUGUGUAAGGUGUAUAUAUGGUCAGUAGUGUGAUGGUGUUUAUUAAUUAGUGUGUGUAAGGUGUAUAUAUGGUCAGUAGUGAGAUGGUGUUUAUUAAUUAGUGUGUGUCAGGUGUAUAUAUGGUCAGUAGUGUGAUGGUGUUUAUUAAUUAGUGUGUGUAAGGUGUAUAUAUGGUCAGUAGUGUGAUGGUGUUUAUUAAUUAGUGUGUAAGGUGUAUAUAUGGUCAGUAGUGUGAUGGUGUUUAUUAAUUAGUGUGUAAGGUGUAUAUAUGGUCAGUAGUGCGAUGGUGUUUAUUAAUUAGUGUGUGUAAGGUGUAUAUAUGGUCAGUAGUGCGAUGGUUAGGAAGAAAGCCAAUUUGACAUUUACUUAUUACAUUUUUUUCUUGAAGAAAGGUUUGAAUUCUUGAAUUCAAAAUGCUACAUAAAACCUUUCCCAAAGUUACUGUUGACGCAAAUUCCCCUGUAAUUAUUGGGGUCUGAUUUGUCUCCACUUUUGUGGAUAGGGGAGAUGAGCCCCUGGUUCCAGACAUCAGGGAAGCAGCCAGAAGUUAAAACCAUGUUGAACAAUUUAAGCACAGCAUUUUGCAACUCAGGUGUGCUGUUUUUCAGCAUUUCAUUUCUGAUGUUGUCUACACCACAAGCCUUUUUUGAUUUAAUAGAUUUUAGCUUUUCAUUUAG
Molecule: long non-coding RNA, 3592 nt
Organism: Oncorhynchus keta (chum salmon)
Lineage: Eukaryota; Metazoa; Chordata; Actinopteri; Salmoniformes; Salmonidae
Exons: 3
Source: RefSeq, a predicted model, not a curated record